Mesocricetus auratus (golden hamster) is the source of this 1077-nucleotide long non-coding RNA. RefSeq lists it as uncharacterized. Lineage: Eukaryota; Metazoa; Chordata; Mammalia; Rodentia; Cricetidae. The transcript is spliced from 4 exons. The record is from RefSeq and is a predicted model, not a curated record.
CGCUCAUCUCUCUGCUAGGUAUGCUCCAUGAAAGCUUUUGGAAGUUUGUAUUCUGAGGUUCUAAAUGUGAACAUCCUGGGGAGAAGAACUUAGUCACCAGUCAGGGAUGCUGAGAAACAGGAAUCACUCAAAUCGGUGGCUUCAACGAAGAGUGUUAGAAGAAAAGUAAAAGGGACUACUACACCACUGGAUAAAUCUGGAAAAGGAGUAAGGAGACCACUGCAACAACAAAGAGGGAAAUAUUCUAUUUACUUCCUGGAAUUUCUCAGAAGUCAGCGCAGUUUUGUUGUUCAAAGCUCAGAAUCCACUACCACAAAGAAAAGAAGUAUGCACCAUCUUUUACUCAAACAUGCUAAUGCAAUCCAGCGCUAAAGUCAGAGCUUUUGGAUCAAUAGAGGAAACACAGCAGCAGCUUACCAACGAACACCUGACACCAACCUGUGAAGGUUGAUAAGAAUUGUACAGUUACUAUGAUAACGUGCGAUAAAGAAUUUAUGUUAGCUUUCGGGUUAUUAAAUUUUAUUUACUCAUAUUAUUAAAAGUUUGAUGAAUUUAGCAUUAUGAAUAAAUCAACUCAUAUAGUUCUAUGAAAUAUGAAGCUAUUUUUAAGAGGAAGAAUGGACUCUCGCCUUUGUCUACUGAGGUUGGAGAAUAGCCUUCUUAAAAAAUGGCAGGUGGAUUCUAACGGAGGCACAAUCAAAUGCUGUCUGGGAAAUGGAAGCUCUGCAAAGUCCGAGCCCUGCGUGGAGGGAUGGCUGCUGGGAUGCUCUUCAUUAGAGGGGAUACUGGUGUCCCAGCCAGUGAAACAGUACAGGCAUUCUGUCGCUACCCACAGGAGUUUACGCUUCUGGAGAUUUUCAGGUAUUGGAUGGCAUCUUCAACUCUCUUACAACUUUUCAGGGCGUCACACAUGCAUUCUACUCAUUAGUGACUAAUGGUCAGCAGGUUGGCUUAAUUAAGAUAAAACAGAACAGGUCCAUUAUUGGCUUUAGGAAGAAACAACACUGAGAUCCAUUUAGUAACAGUCUUGAGUAAAAGUCAUUCACUUCAAAAUAAAGUGAGCAAAAUAUUCUUAAA